ACGCUCUCAACUUUGACGACCACCUGACUGCAGAACAUUUGGGCUUCAGCCAUUCCUCCAAAUGCUGCAAAGGUAUUCCCUCAUCACCAUCCAGGCCGGAUCUGUUUGGUUAUUUACGGCCGGGUGAGGACAGCAGUCAGGCGGUCGCCUCCAGCAUCAUCAGGCGGACAACACGCUUAUGUGCCCCGCAUGUGUGCGUAAAGAACAGAACACAAUAAAACGGAA
Lampris incognitus (smalleye Pacific opah) is the source of this 225-nucleotide long non-coding RNA. RefSeq lists it as uncharacterized. The transcript is spliced from 3 exons. Lineage: Eukaryota; Metazoa; Chordata; Actinopteri; Lampriformes; Lampridae. The record is from RefSeq and is a predicted model, not a curated record.